RNAcentral lists this ribosomal RNA (497 nucleotides) under uncultured bacterium. Its description in RNAcentral is "partial 16S ribosomal RNA". It matches the Rfam family "Bacterial small subunit ribosomal RNA", at positions 28 to 507 of the family's 1533-position model. The record is from RNAcentral.
GAUGAACGCUGGCGGCGUGCCUAAUACAUGCAAGUCGAGCGAACGGACGAGAAGCUUGCUUCUCUGAUGUUAGCGGCGGACGGGUGAGUAACACGUGGAUAACCUACCUAUAAGACUGGGAUAACUUCGGGAAACCGGAGCUAAUACCGGAUAAUAUUUUGAACCGCAUGGUUCGAAAGUGAAAGACGGUCUUGCUGUCACUUAUAGAUGGAUCCGCGCUGCAUUAGCUAGUUGGUAAGGUAACGGCUUACCAAGGCAACGAUGCAUAGCCGACCUGAGAGGGUGAUCGGCCACACUGGAACUGAGACACGGUCCAGACUCCUACGGGAGGCAGCAGUAGGGAAUCUUCCGCAAUGGGCGAAAGCCUGACGGAGCAACGCCGCGUGAGUGAUGAAGGUCUUCGGAUCGUAAAACUCUGUUAUUAGGGAAGAACAUAUGUGUAAGUAACUGUGCACAUCUUGACGGUACCUAAUCAGAAAGCCACGGCUAACUACGUG